GUCUGUGUGAAAGGCGGUACACAGUCUGGCCUGCUCACUGAGUUAUUAAAGAGCCGCAGUAAUUUGACUGUGCGAAGGUAGCAUAAUCAUUAGCUUUUUAAUUGGAAGCUGGCAUGAAAGGUCAUAUGAGAGAUAUACUGUCUUAACAGUAUAUAAGGAACUUAACUUUUAAGUGAAAAGGCUUAAAUAAAUUGAAGGGACGAUAAGACCCUAUAAAACUUAAUACAGGUAAGGCCUGAAGACAAAUUUCGAUUAAAGUCAACUAACUGUGUUUGUAUUAUGUUGGGGAGACGUGAAUAAAAUGAGUAACUGUUCAUUAAAUUUUAUAGUGAUAAUUAGGCUAUGAUCCUCCCUUGGGGAUUAGAAGAAUAAGUUACUUUAGGGAUAACAGCGUAAUUUUCUUUGAGAGUUCAUAUCGAUAGGAGUAGUUGCGACCUCGAUGUUGAAUUAAAAUUUUACUUAGGUUGUAGCCGCUUAAGUGGAAGGUCUGUUCGACCUUUAAAAUUUUACAUGAUUUGAGUUCAAACCGGUGUAAG
This 536-nucleotide ribosomal RNA is filed under the name Anchistioides compressus. RNAcentral's name for it is "partial large subunit ribosomal RNA". It matches the Rfam family "Bacterial large subunit ribosomal RNA", at positions 1819 to 2625 of the family's 2925-position model. The record is from RNAcentral. Lineage: Eukaryota; Metazoa; Arthropoda; Malacostraca; Decapoda; Anchistioididae.